RNAcentral lists this ribosomal RNA (253 nucleotides) under uncultured bacterium. Its description in RNAcentral is "partial 16S ribosomal RNA". It matches the Rfam family "Bacterial small subunit ribosomal RNA", at positions 524 to 776 of the family's 1533-position model. The record is from RNAcentral.
UACGUAGGGGGCAAGCGUUGUCCGGAUUUAUUGGGCGUAAAGAGCGUGUAGGCGGCCUGACAGGUCUGCUGUGAAAACUCGAGGCUCAACCUCGAGAUGUCGGCGGAAACCGUCUGGCUAGAGUCCGGAAGAGGAGAGUGGAAUUCCUGGUGUAGCGGUGAAAUGCGUAGAUAUCUGGAGGAAUACCGGUGGCGAAGGCGGCAUCCUGGACCGACAUUGACGCUGAAGGCCGAAAGCUAGGGGAGCAAACGGG